This 261-nucleotide ribosomal RNA is filed under the name uncultured bacterium. RNAcentral's name for it is "partial 16S ribosomal RNA". It matches the Rfam family "Bacterial small subunit ribosomal RNA", at positions 91 to 353 of the family's 1533-position model. The record is from RNAcentral.
ACGAGUGGCGGACGGGUGAGUAAUGUCUGGGAAACUGCCUGAUGGAGGGGGAUAACUACUGGAAACGGUAGCUAAUACCGCAUAACGUCGCAAGACCAAAGAGGGGGACCCUCGGGCCCCUUGCCAUCGGAUGUGCCCAGAUGGGAUUAGCUUGUUGGUGGGGUAACGGCUCACCAAGGCGACGAUCCCUAGCUGGUCUGAGAGGAUGACCAGCCACACUGGAACUGAGACACGGUCCAGACUCCUACGGGAGGCAGCAUG